This 781-nucleotide ribosomal RNA is filed under the name uncultured Lactobacillus sp. RNAcentral describes it as "bacterial SSU rRNA". It matches the Rfam family "Bacterial small subunit ribosomal RNA", at positions 28 to 776 of the family's 1533-position model. The record is from RNAcentral. Lineage: Bacteria; Bacillati; Bacillota; Bacilli; Lactobacillales; Lactobacillaceae.
GACGAACGCUGGCGGCGUGCCUAAUACAUGCAAGUCGAGCGAGCGGAACUAACAGAUUUACUUCGGUAAUGACGUUAGGAAAGCGAGCGGCGGAUGGGUGAGUAACACGUGGGGAACCUGCCCCAUAGUCUGGGAUACCACUUGGAAACAGGUGCUAAUACCGGAUAAGAAAGCAGAUCGCAUGAUCAGCUUUUAAAAGGCGGCGUAAGCUGUCGCUAUGGGAUGGCCCCGCGGUGCAUUAGCUAGUUGGUAAGGUAAAGGCUUACCAAGGCGAUGAUGCAUAGCCGAGUUGAGAGACUGAUCGGCCACAUUGGGACUGAGACACGGCCCAAACUCCUACGGGAGGCAGCAGUAGGGAAUCUUCCACAAUGGACGCAAGUCUGAUGGAGCAACGCCGCGUGAGUGAAGAAGGUUUUCGGAUCGUAAAGCUCUGUUGUUGGUGAAGAAGGAUAGAGGUAGUAACUGGCCUUUAUUUGACGGUAAUCAACCAGAAAGUCACGGCUAACUACGUGCCAGCAGCCGCGGUAAUACGUAGGUGGCAAGCGUUGUCCGGAUUUAUUGGGCGUAAAGCGAGCGCAGGCGGAAGAAUAAGUCUGAUGUGAAAGCCCUCGGCUUAACCGAGGAACUGCAUCGGAAACUGUUUUUCUUGAGUGCAGAAGAGGAGAGUGGAACUCCAUGUGUAGCGGUGGAAUGCGUAGAUAUAUGGAAGAACACCAGUGNCGAAGGCGGCUCUCUGGUCUGCAACUGACGCUGAGGCUCGAAAGCAUGGGUAGCGAACAGG